RNAcentral lists this ribosomal RNA (401 nucleotides) under uncultured bacterium. RNAcentral describes it as "bacterial SSU rRNA". It matches the Rfam family "Bacterial small subunit ribosomal RNA", at positions 359 to 776 of the family's 1533-position model. The record is from RNAcentral.
GAAUCUUCCACAAUGCGCGAAAGCGUGAUGGAGCAAUGCCGCGUGCAGGAUGAAGCCCUUCGGGGUGUAAACUGCUGUCAGGGGUUAGCAACACAAUGAGCAGCCCCAAAGGAAGAGACGACUAACUCUGUGCCAGCAGUCGCGGUAAUACAGAGGUCUCGAGCGUUAGACGGAUUCAUUGGGCUUAAAGCGUACGUAGGCGGGCGUGCAGGCGUCGUGUGAAAGCCCUCGGCUCAACCGGGGAAUUGCACGGCGAACCGCACGUCUUGAGACAAGUAGGGGCGGUCGGAACGAUAGGUGGAGUGGUGAGAUGCGUUGAUAUCUAUCGGAACGCCAAUGGUGAAGACAGGCCGCUGGGCUUGUUCUGACGCUGAGGUACGAAAGCGUGGGGAGCGAACGGG